Molecule: ribosomal RNA, 541 nt
Filed under: fungal sp. 57480
Lineage: Eukaryota; Fungi
Description: eukaryotic LSU rRNA
Rfam family: 5.8S ribosomal RNA (bases 175-328)
Source: RNAcentral
GGUUUCCGUAGGUGAACCUGCGGAGGGAUCAUUACCGAGUGCGGGCCCCUCGGGGCCCAACCUCCCACCCGUGUUGCCCGAACCUAUGUUGCCUCGGCGGGCCCCGCGCCCGCCGACGGCCCCCCUGAACGCUGUCUGAAGUUGCAGUCUGAGACCUAUAACGAAAUUAGUUAAAACUUUCAACAACGGAUCUCUUGGUUCCGGCAUCGAUGAAGAACGCAGCGAAAUGCGAUAACUAAUGUGAAUUGCAGAAUUCAGUGAAUCAUCGAGUCUUUGAACGCACAUUGCGCCCUCUGGUAUUCCGGAGGGCAUGCCUGUCCGAGCGUCAUUGCUGCCCUCAAGCCCGGCUUGUGUGUUGGGCCCCGUCCCCCCCGCCGGGGGGACGGGCCCGAAAGGCAGCGGCGGCACCGCGUCCGGUCCUCGAGCGUAUGGGGCUUCGUCACCCGCUCUAGUAGGCCCGGCCGGCGCCAGCCGACCCCCAACCUUUAAUUAUCUCAGGUUGACCUCGGAUCAGGUAGGGAUACCCGCUGAACUUAAGCAU